This 580-nucleotide long non-coding RNA is filed under the name Ananas comosus (pineapple). RNAcentral's name for it is "long non-coding RNA (ACOM_LNC036032)". Lineage: Eukaryota; Viridiplantae; Streptophyta; Magnoliopsida; Poales; Bromeliaceae. The record is from RNAcentral.
AAAUUUGCUUUAAAAAUCCAUCAAAUUUGAAUUAAAUUCAUACAAAUUAAGGCUUUUACUCCAAAAAUUAUUAUAAUGAAAAUAAGAUAUUAUAAAAUUUCAAAAUCCAUCAAAAACAUCAAAAUUUCAUAAUCAAAAGUGAUUUAAUAAUUCAAAACCAUCAAGAUGCAAGUUGAUGAAAAAUGAUUUUAGAAAUUCAAUAAAAAUUGACACCAAUUUGUUGUAACAUGUUCAAUAUAGAGAUUUAACCAAUAUGAUACCGGGGGUGGCUCUUUGAGCAUCUUUUCAACUUACCACCUUAUAACUCCGAAAAUUCUAAAAUAUUUAUAUUUUUUUUCAACCUUUCUUCGGCUUUUUCAAUUUAAUCUUCAUGUGGUAGCUUCACACACUUGUCGGACGACCGGGAUGGUAGCUCUUUCCUACAUGUGGUGGUAGUUUUCACACUCCUUUUGGAAGUAACUCUUUCCACAUCUUUUAAAUAUAGGAGUUUCUUUUUCUCCUCCCUUUUAAAUUUAAAACUCCCCCUUAAUUAGGCAAUCUCACAAUUGAAAAUAAUUUUGACGAAUUUUAGUCAAUUAGA